GUCCCUGUAGCACAAUGAUAGCGUGUUGGACUUCUAAUUCAAAGGUCGUGGGUUCGAAUCCCGCCUGGGAUG
RNAcentral lists this transfer RNA (72 nucleotides) under Trichonephila inaurata madagascariensis. It matches the Rfam family "tRNA". From Rfam's summary of the family: Transfer RNA (tRNA) molecules are approximately 80 nucleotides in length. Their secondary structure includes four short double-helical elements and three loops (D, anti-codon, and T loops). Further hydrogen bonds mediate the characteristic L-shaped molecular structure. tRNAs have two regions of fundamental functional importance: the anti-codon, which is responsible for specific mRNA codon recognition, and the 3' end, to which the tRNAs corresponding amino acid is attached (by aminoacyl-tRNA synthetases). tRNAs cope with the degeneracy of the genetic code in two manners: having more than one tRNA (with a specific anti-codon) for a particular amino acid; and 'wobble' base-pairing, i.e. permitting non-standard base-pairing at the 3rd anti-codon position. Lineage: Eukaryota; Metazoa; Arthropoda; Arachnida; Araneae; Nephilidae. The record is from Rfam by way of RNAcentral.